AGGAUGAACGCUGGCGGCGUGCCUAAUACAUGCAAGUCGAGCGGCAGCGCGGUCUUCGGACUGGCGGCGAGCGGCGGACGGCUGAGUAACACGUAGGAACGUACCCCAAAGUGAGGGAUAAGCACCAGAAAUGGUGUCUAAUACCGCAUGUGCUCUAAGGAGUAAAGCUUCGGCGCUUUGGGAACGGCCUGCGCAUGAUUAGCUUGUUGGUGAGGUAAUGGCUCACCAAGGCGACGAUCAUUAGCUGGUCUGAGAGGAUGAUCAGCCAGACUGGGACUGAGAACGGCCCAGACUCCUACGGGAGGCAGCAGUAGGGAAUUUUCCACAAUGGGCGAAAGCCUGAUGGAGCAACGCCGCGUGCAGGAUGAAGGCUUUCGGGUCGUAAACUGCUUUUAUAUGUGAAGAAUAUGACGGUAGCAUAUAGAAGUAAGGAUCGGCUAACUCCGUGCCAGCAGCCGCGGUAA
Molecule: ribosomal RNA, 464 nt
Filed under: uncultured bacterium
Lineage: Bacteria
Description: SSU rRNA
Rfam family: Bacterial small subunit ribosomal RNA
Source: RNAcentral